GAUGAACGCUGGCGGCGUGCCUAAUACAUGCAAGUCGAGCGAACAGACGAGGAGCUUGCUCCUCUGACGUUAGCGGCGGACGGGUGAGUAACACGUGGAUAACCUACCUAUAAGACUGGGAUAACUUCGGGAAACCGGAGCUAAUACCGGAUAAUAUAUUGAACCGCAUGGUUCAAUAGUGAAAGACGGUUUUGCUGUCACUUAUAGAUGGAUCCGCGCCGCAUUAGCUAGUUGGUAAGGUAACGGCUUACCAAGGCAACGAUGCGUAGCCGACCUGAGAGGGAGAUUGGCCACACUGGCACUGAGACACGGUCCAGACUCCUACGGGAGGCAGCAGUAGGGAAUCUUCCGCGAUGCGCGAAAGCCUGACGGAGCAACGCCGCGUGAGUGAUGAAGGUCUUCGGAUCGUAAAACUCUGUUAUUAGGGAAGAACAAAUGUGUAAGUAACUAUGCACGUCUUGACGGUACCUAAUCAGAAAGCCACGGCUAACUACGUG
RNAcentral lists this ribosomal RNA (497 nucleotides) under uncultured bacterium. RNAcentral describes it as "partial 16S ribosomal RNA". It matches the Rfam family "Bacterial small subunit ribosomal RNA", at positions 28 to 507 of the family's 1533-position model. The record is from RNAcentral.